This 464-nucleotide ribosomal RNA is filed under the name uncultured bacterium. RNAcentral describes it as "partial 16S ribosomal RNA". It matches the Rfam family "Bacterial small subunit ribosomal RNA", at positions 339 to 795 of the family's 1533-position model. The record is from RNAcentral.
CUACGGGGGGCAGCAGUCGAGGAUAUUUAGCAAUGCCCGAAAGGGUGACUAUGCGACGCCGCGUGUGCGAUGAAGGUCUUCGGAUCGUAAAGCACUGUCAGCUGAGAUGAAUCUCGGGGGCUUUAACAAAGCCGCCGGGUGACAGUACCAGCAGAGGAAGCCACGGCUAACUCCGUGCCAGCAGCCGCGGUAAUACGGAGGUGGCAGGCGUUACUCGGAUUGAUUGGGUGUAAAGGGUAUGUAGGCGGUGCGCUAAGUCGAAUGUGAAAUCCCUUGGCUUAACCAAGGAACUGCAUUCGAUACUGGCGUCUUGAGUGUUGGAGAGGAAAGCGGAAUUCCCGGUGUAACAGUGAAAUGUGUAGAUAUCGGGAGGAACACCAGCGGCGAAGGCGGCUUUCUGGACAACAACUGACGCUGAAAUACGAGAGCAUGGGUAGCAAACAGGAUUAGAUACCCGGGUAGUC